CUGAGCACCAAGAUGUUUCCUAUUACCAUCCCAGUAGCAGUUGCAUCUGGACAGUUUUCCUUAUCUCCUGUUAAUAGGCCCAUCAAUGUCUCGCCUCAUGACUCAGAGAUAACACUCUCCAAGAGCCAGUUCUGUUUAACAGGUUUCCAAGAAGACACAGCAACCACAUCUGCCACUCCAAGAGGACUGCAGCCACUCCAAUUUGGACUGCUACCAGCACACUGGCCAAAGCGGGUGUCAGGUUGUAUUCUGACUUUGCCAGUGGUCUUCCUUUUGUAUCAUUGUGUGUAUUUUUGUCUUUUGUUUUCCCUUUUCCCAAUAAAUUGUAUUUCUGA
Molecule: long non-coding RNA, 335 nt
Organism: Vidua macroura (Pin-tailed whydah)
Lineage: Eukaryota; Metazoa; Chordata; Aves; Passeriformes; Viduidae
Exons: 2
Source: RefSeq, a predicted model, not a curated record